AGUUAAUUAGCUUAAAGAAAGCAUAUGUUUUGAAAACAUAAUAUUAGAAGUUUAAUUCUUCUAUUAACUU
RNAcentral lists this transfer RNA (70 nucleotides) under Phlaeoba antennata. RNAcentral's name for it is "tRNA-Ser". It matches the Rfam family "tRNA". Rfam says of the family: Transfer RNA (tRNA) molecules are approximately 80 nucleotides in length. RNAcentral also lists the same sequence under 1 other name. Lineage: Eukaryota; Metazoa; Arthropoda; Insecta; Orthoptera; Acrididae. The record is from RNAcentral.